RNAcentral lists this ribosomal RNA (730 nucleotides) under uncultured bacterium. Its description in RNAcentral is "bacterial SSU rRNA". It matches the Rfam family "Bacterial small subunit ribosomal RNA", at positions 771 to 1501 of the family's 1533-position model. The record is from RNAcentral.
AACAGGAUUAGAUACCCUGGUAGUCCACGCCGUAAACGAUGUCGACUUGGAGGUUGUGCCCUUGAGGCGUGGCUUCCGGAGCUAACGCGUUAAGUCGACCGCCUGGGGAGUACGGCCGCAAGGUUAAAACUCAAAUGAAUUGACGGGGGCCCGCACAAGCGGUGGAGCAUGUGGUUUAAUUCGAUGCAACGCGAAGAACCUUACCUACUCUUGACAUCCAGAGAACUUAGCAGAGAUGCUUUGGUGCCUUCGGGAACUCUGAGACAGGUGCUGCAUGGCUGUCGUCAGCUCGUGUUGUGAAGUGUUGGGUUAAGUCCCGCAACGAGCGCAACCCUUAUCCUUUGUUGCCAGCGGUUAGGCCGGGAACUCAAAGGAGACUGCCAGUGAUAAACUGGAGGAAGGUGGGGAUGACGUCAAGUCAUCAUGGCCCUUACGAGUAGGGCUACACACGUGCUACAAUGGCGCAUACAAAGAGAAGCGACCUCGCGAGAGCAAGCGGACCUCAUAAAGUGCGUCGUAGUCCGGAUUGGAGUCUGCAACUCGACUCCAUGAAGUCGGAAUCGCUAGUAAUCGUGGAUCAGAAUGCCACGGUGAAUACGUUCCCGGGCCUUGUACACACCGCCCGUCACACCAUGGGAGUGGGUUGCAAAAGAAGUAGGUAGCUUAACCUUCGGGAGGGCGCUUACCACUUUGUGAUUCAUGACUGGGGUGAAGUCGUAACAAGGUAACC